CUGGUGCACGUGUCAACCAGGGCUGGACUGGGACAAAAAAUCGGCCCGGGCAUUUUGACUGGAGCCCGGCCCACCAGGAUAGAGAUUGAAAAUGUGACAUCAUUCGGGGUAAAACCGCAAAGGAUUCUGGGAACUUGAGGCAAGAGGUACUAGCGCACGCAGGCUUUCAAUUGAACUCAGUUACACAGCGAUAAAAAGAAACACAAAAAAUGGCAAGAAGCUGUUGUAUUAUUAACUGCAAUAGCCGGUCGCAUGACAGCCACGGGAAGCCGACGGGUAAAGAGAUCGUUUUUUUUUUUUUAUCGGAUUAUGUCCUUGAAGAGAAAUUUUUUAAGCCAUGUUUCCGAAGUAAGAGCCCACGGAUGGUCUGGAUAUACCAAAUAUAACGUCUCAGAACACUCCAGCUCACAUGUUAGUCUGCUCCAAGCAUUUCCACAAAGACUUUAAACCAGAGCCAGACGUCGUCUACUCUUCACUGAAGUAGUCCACCAGUCCAACCACUGACAUCCAGCUGCUGGUCUCUAACUGGUCCCCCAGCACCUCAGAUCAACGUGUUCAAAAGAUUUUUUUUUUUUCAUGUUUUAUGUAUUUUUAAUCUAUAUUUAACUUUUUUCAACAUAAACAGUCGGAAAAUACAUAUUAAAAUGUUUUCAUAUUUUCAAUAAUUUACAAUUUUAUUUUUUGUUUGUUUGUUCUUGUUCACACAGCACAGAUGUGGUUUCUAUGCAGGACUAAAAUAGUUUUGUUCUCGUUUGUUUUUUCUGUGGUUCUGUGGGUUUCACUAAAGUGUCAGAUGGAAAAUUUAUCUCUUCCAAUUUGAUUGUGGCUAACCAAUGUAUGCUUCUGUUUAACACAGAAAAAAAUCCAACAGAAUAAACAUUAACCUACAACACCAGCAGCUUUUUAGUGAGUACUGAAGCUGAACAGAAAAGCUUUAGUACUGACUGUAUGAAGAGUUGUAAUUUCUUUAUUUCCUUAAUGAGCUGGAAACCAACCAAAAGAUGUAGGGAUGGAAAAUUGUUUCAUUUUCAUUAAUUAAUUGUUUAAUAAGAAAAUUCUCUACUAGCAACUUAAAAAUGUGAAUAUUUACCUGUUUUGUUGUUUUUUUUUUCUUUUUUAAUGAUCUGAAACUUCUACAUUUUUUGUCUGCUACUCAAUCAAAAUAAAGUGAUUCAUAUUCAUUAUAUUAUAUUAUCUUGUACUGUAUUAAAUGAUAUAAGCACGGGGGAGAGUAACCCGGUUAUAUUAGUAGAUAGUAAUUGUUUGAUCGUGUAUUUAUUAAACAGCUGUUUUAUUUGCUGCUCCUUCUUCAGGGAAACAUUCAUUGUGUCUCCCUCAGUAGUUUAAGAUCAGAAUAGAAAGCUGAAUUUUUUUAGUGUCUGAUAAACUACAGAUGUGAACAUGUGACUCAGGCUACGUACACGGGUAUUUUUGAAAACGGACAUUUUCCGUUUUCAUUUUAAAAAAUAAUCCCGUCCACACGUAAACGCAGAAAUGAAGGAAAACGCUGCUAGGAACAUGCCAAAGCAGCAGGUGGCGCUAUAUUCCUAACCGUGUAGAAAUGUUGGCCAAUCAGAAGUCUAGAAGCCUGGGUGGGAAAUAGUAAACAAAGAUGGGGAGUAGAAGCAGAACGAGUCGUAUGUGUGGAGGGACAGUAACUGUGUGUGUAUAUGUAAGCAUUUAAACACUGCAGAGCGUACAAUUAACAGUAACAGUAUUGUAGAAAUUCAUUUCACCGAAACAAUAACGUGGCGCACAGUGUGACGUCAAAAAAGGCGCACACCUUUGACGCUGCGUUUUCUCCGUUUUUCUCGUCCACACGUAAACGCAAAAACGGAGUUUUCGAAAAUAUCCACCCUGGCAGGCGUUUUUAGAAAUCUCCCUUUUCAGUGACCGAAAACGCCGUUUACGUGUGGACGAAAGGUGCAAACACAUAGAAAAAUCUGCGUUUUCAAAAAUACCCGGGUACGUGUGGACGUAGCCUCACACUGGACUUCCUUCUGGAUCACAUCUCCUGAAUAAGCUCAGAGACAAUCUUGCAUUAAACCUCUCAGUCAAGCUUGAUGGACGAGUCUUGUUUAUAGUCUGUGUCUGUCUACAAUCUACUGGUGAAACUGGCUGUUACAUGAGAGUUGCUGCUUUUGUUAAGAUUUAACCUCUUAACGUCCACCAGUUUGGAUUAGUAGGUUAUAUUUUACUCACAUGCCAAGCAGCAGUUUCAGAAAUGCACUAAUAUAAAAACUGAAUUGGCCCGUCACAACUGGAAAAGUCAGUUUUCCUGUGAUGGGAAAACAUCAAGAUUAAUUUCAUUUCAUUAUCACCAGUGAUCAUUUGAAUUCUUAACUGAUUCAAGUAAUAAUAAUUUAAUUGUAUUUUUUUGGUUUUCAAGAUAUUGCUGUUGUUGUGUCAAUGUAUUGUGUUGUUGUUUGGGUUAUUGAAAGUCCCCAAGUGUGGGACUCCACAGUGCUGCCAGAGGAAGGAAACUACUAUUUUAUUAGGAAGAGUAUAACAUCGGCCUCCUGUUUCUUUUAAUAAACUAGUGAAAGCAUCAUCUGCUUGUAUUCACGUCGUAUUUAAACAAAACCACCUCCCUGUCCUGAUCUGAUAUAUAUCCUGUCCCUGCACAGUUGUGAGUGUAAUUUUCCCGUUUCAC
Molecule: long non-coding RNA, 2653 nt
Organism: Oreochromis aureus
Lineage: Eukaryota; Metazoa; Chordata; Actinopteri; Cichliformes; Cichlidae
Source: Ensembl